AAAACAUGCCUAUGACUAUACACAUUACAAGGUAAUAAAAAACUCAAGUUGUCAUAAAUAUUAAAGUAAAAAUAAAAAUUUAGAAUCAAAACUAAAAUAAAUAAUACAUAUGAAAAACAUGCCUAUGACUAUACACAUUACAAGGUAAUAAAAAAUACAAUGCAUUAAAUUGUUGAACCUGCCCAGGUACUAUCUGACAGCAGAAUAACACAUUAAAUUGUUGGAUUAAACAUGUAGAUUACAUACUAAUGUAGACCAAAAUAUUUUCCUUUUCCUUCUACCCUUAAAUCUAGAGAUAGCAAAAACCAGGGACCUAACACUAGCAAGUUCAAAUAUAUCGCUAAAAGAAACACAGCUUUAGCUCCAUCCAAAUGUACUUUCGAUUCUUAAAUUCUGCUUCAAUAUAUUGGAUGAAUUUCCCCGCUGCAUGAUGUUAGGUGAUCAAACGUAGUACUUUAAAACUGCAAAAGUAAGAAGCAAGCACCCUCACUUGAUAAUCUGAAGGGUUGUCUUCCUCACCACUUGGUCCUCUAAAAGGGAGCAGCUUAGCUUUAGGUUUCUCUAAAGAGAAAACAACAGGAAUUCCACCCUCAAUCCCAUGAUCUUUCCUUAAACGGUGUCUCACCUAGAAGCAAAAAUUUGACAAAGAGUAAAGUGAAUGAUAGCAGGAAAUAAACCCCUAAACAAUGUCUUCUUAAUGCAAUAGAUAAACAAGAGUAAAAUUGGAUAUCCAAAAUAACAAAUACAAGCAUAAGAUAUUAAAGUUUUUCCAAACCAAAUAAAAUCUAAUUGGACAAGGCCCCAAAGUAAACACCAAUCAUAAGAUCAGCAACCACCAGAAAACUGCAGUAGCAAGUGUAGAUUCAAAAGCCACAGACGCAAAGAGCAAUGAUAAAAGAAAGAAAACCACAACUCUCCUGUAGGCUGUAGCAUUUUAAUUUCAUAAAGAGUAAAUAUUGGUUCAUCCAUAGACUAUGGAUUAAAGAGAUUUACCUAGUCAGUUGCUCAGAAACUAUAUCAUCUGCUAGAAGGCUCAAGCCAGUCAUCCCAAUAUUCCCAUUUCCAAGACCAAUCGCACAUUUGACAGUUGUAUCUGAUGCAAUUUUAAUUCCCGGAAUAGCAAUCAAAGAAAUGGAAAGAUAACAUUUUCACCAAUUUACUAGUAUCAUACAAAAGUUUUGACGAAAGAGAGUUCAAAUUUGAACUGAAAAUGACAUUAAAAAUUUAGAAUAAACACAGAAUCGAUAAAGAUGAUUGCAUCUAUCAGAUCUAGCAUGUUUAGCGUUUUGCCAGUGUUGUAGGUCAGUUAGAGCAUCGAAUACAAGCAUUAAAAUAAUAGCAUCUUUCAUUAUGUGUGAGAAGCAUACCACAAUAAAACAACAAUCACCACAUCAUGCAAGUUUUCUUAGAAGUACAACUUAUAGCCAAUAGAAAACACCAAAAAUCUUUAACUUGGUGAUACUGUCACAACAGAAAUCGAGACUCAACACAGCCAUAUCUUUAACUCAAUCUUCUAUCUUCUCACAAGAAAUCGACUAAUCUCCCAAAAUUUGCAGCCAAACACGAGUGUUAAAGAGAAAAAAAAGAUUAUGCAUUGAAACUAAGAAGAGUUUUCUGUUGCAUCCAUAUAUAUCUACAACAGUAGUCGAGAGCACCCAGCGCCAACACUGACCCACAAUAGACAAGGCAAUGAGUAAAAAACAACAAGAAUAAUGUAACUAUACAGAGUAUUAUGGUAACAGGAAAAUAAUUGGAAAGUAUAAAAAAAAUCAAACAAAAUAAAGGAAAUAUCUACUGAAUGAUAAAUAUUACAACAAUUAUAAGCUGGCACAUGCUCAAUUGAUAUUUCUUUGAUAAAUGAAAUUAUUACUUGACUCCCAAAUCCUCAUCUCUUAUGUUCAGAUAAGAAACUUGUGUGCACAAGAUUCAUAAAAUCAUACAAGCAAAACAUCAAUCAAAUCCCUAAAUUGAGCACUGAAGAUUUCAUUAAUAAAUUAAAUUAUAACUCGACUCCCAAAUUCUCAUCUCUUUUGUCAGAUAACAAACUUCAUGAUACAGAAGGGUAUCAAAAGUGAUAUAACACUCAUGGUAACAAUUAUCAGUCUAACUAUUAAAGAAAGACGAAAAAAAAGCAUAUGCAUACAACACUCAUAGUAACCCUUAGAAAAAAAGGGCAUUAUGUGCUAUAUAACGAAAGCAUAAACUUCAUUUACUUUUCAAUUUUCAUGAUCUGUAAAUGGCAUAAAAUCCAGACCUUAAUGGCAUAAAACAAUAGAACUACGUACUAUUAGCAGAAAGCAGAUUAUAAAAGAACAUUCUACAUACCAGGCAGUUCUACAUACCAGUCAGCAAAAUCACCCCAAAAGAAAUCAUAUAUUUCUCUCCCAACGUCCUCAAAGAAAAAUUUGUUAUAACUCUCAGUGACAGCAUCAAUAAGCAUAUGCAGUUUUGAGACUUGAAAAAUGAACAAUAGUACUCAAGUAACUUCUCUGUAGCAUUCAGAAAAAGAAUAAUUAGGGUAUGUAUGAAUGCUCA
Molecule: long non-coding RNA, 2535 nt
Filed under: Gossypium barbadense (sea-island cotton)
Lineage: Eukaryota; Viridiplantae; Streptophyta; Magnoliopsida; Malvales; Malvaceae
Description: long non-coding RNA (GBAR_LNC017229)
Source: RNAcentral